UACGGAGGGUGCAAGCGUUGUCCGGAUUCAUUGGGUUUAAAGCGCACGCAGGCGGCUCUUCAAGUCUGACGUGAAAUCUCUCGGCUUAACCGGGAGCGGUCGUUGGAAACUGAAGGGCUUGAGGCGAUGAGAGGGGUGUGGAAUUCCCGGUGUAGUGGUGGAAUGCGUAGAUAUCGGGAGGAACAUCAGUGGCGAAAGCGGCACCCUGGCAUUAGCCUGACGCUCAUGUGCGAAAGCGUGGGGAGCGAACGGG
This 253-nucleotide ribosomal RNA is filed under the name uncultured bacterium. RNAcentral's name for it is "partial 16S ribosomal RNA". It matches the Rfam family "Bacterial small subunit ribosomal RNA", at positions 524 to 776 of the family's 1533-position model. The record is from RNAcentral.